Molecule: ribosomal RNA, 254 nt
Filed under: uncultured bacterium
Lineage: Bacteria
Description: partial 16S ribosomal RNA
Rfam family: Bacterial small subunit ribosomal RNA
Source: RNAcentral
UACGUAGGAGGCGAGCGUUGUCCGGAGUUACUGGGCGUAAAGGGUGCGCAGGCGGCGGUUCGCGUGGCGAGAUGAAAUCUCCUGGCUUACCUGGGAGGAUGGUCGCCAGACGGGAUCGCUUGAGGGUCGGAGAGGGGCGUGGAAUUCCGGGUGUAGCGGUGAAAUGCGUAGAUAUCCGGAGGAACACCGGUGGCGAGGGCGGCUUCCUGGACCGACACUGACGCUGAGGCGCGAAAGCUAGGGGAGCAAACGGG